GACGAACGCUGGCGGCGUGCUUAACACAUGCAAGUCGAACGGAAAGGCCCUGCUUUUGUGGGGUGCUCGAGUGGCGAACGGGUGAGUAACACGUGAGUAACCUGCCCUUGACUUUGGGAUAACUUCAGGAAACUGGGGCUAAUACCGGAUAGGAGCUCCUGCUGCAUGGUGGGGGUUGGAAAGUUUCGGCGGUUGGGGAUGGACUCGCGGCUUAUCAGCUUGUUGGUGGGGCAGUGGUUUACCCAGGCUUUGACGGGUAGCCGGCCUGAGAGGGUGACCGGCCACAUUGGGACUGAGAUACGGCCCAGACUCCUACGGGAGGCAGCAGUGGGGAAUAUUGCACAAUGGGCGGAAGCCUGAUGCAGCAACGCCGCGUGCGGGAUGACGGCCUUCGGGUUGUAAACCGCUUUCGCCUGUGACGAAGCGUGAGUGACGGUAAUGGGUAAAGAAGCACCGGCUAACUACGUG
RNAcentral lists this ribosomal RNA (468 nucleotides) under uncultured bacterium. Its description in RNAcentral is "partial 16S ribosomal RNA". It matches the Rfam family "Bacterial small subunit ribosomal RNA", at positions 28 to 507 of the family's 1533-position model. The record is from RNAcentral.